CGGCGGGCGGGCGCGCAUGCGCGGCGCGGCGCCGCUGUCCGUUCAGCACCACGCGGAGCCGGGACCCGCUGCUGCCGGUUGUUUGCAGAUGCAGAAAGAACAUCAGAGACUGUUAGUGUAUUGUAGAGGUGUGUGCUGAGACACAGCUUUACACCAUCAGGAUAUUCAGUGAACUCAGCAACCUAGGUCUACACCAAUGGUUCUUUCAAAGGAUCUGGCUCCAUCUUUUCUCUGGCUGCAGGAUAAGUCUGACAGCCUCCAUCACUCUCAGGGUUGGACUGGAGCACAGCUGGUCUUCUUGGUUGCAUGGGAGAAGGUAUUGAGCUCAUAGGGUAAGCUCUGCUGUCAGUCAGUGCUGAGAUUGCACAGUGUAACCAGACUCCAUUUCUAAGCUGCUGAAACAAGAACACAUGGUGACUUCUGUUCAACUCUUCUCUGUACAUGCCACCUUCCUACUUCUUAUUCAGAAAAUAAUUUGACUAUACAGUCAGGGCUAAAAAAAAAUAAAUAAACAGAUGUAAAGCAAGACCAAGUUCUGCAAGUCAAGGUUGAAAGAGGAUUAUGCAUGGGAAGCUCCCAGCAAAACAGAAAUACAGGGUUGUUCUGCAGCAUCCCACUCACGAAUCCCCUGCAUUCAAGCUUUCAGUGUGCCCUUUGAAUUUAUCUCUACACAUUUCCACGACAGCCAUUUUGCUCAGUUUUCUGGCUAUAUUUGUAAUUACUCCUCUAUAACUGACCUUCAAGGCCUUUUACACAA
Lonchura striata (white-rumped munia) is the source of this 757-nucleotide non-coding RNA. The record is from RefSeq and is a predicted model, not a curated record. Lineage: Eukaryota; Metazoa; Chordata; Aves; Passeriformes; Estrildidae.